RNAcentral lists this ribosomal RNA (2902 nucleotides) under Escherichia coli. RNAcentral describes it as "bacterial LSU rRNA". It matches the Rfam family "Bacterial large subunit ribosomal RNA". The record is from RNAcentral. RNAcentral also lists the same sequence under 6 other names. Lineage: Bacteria; Pseudomonadati; Pseudomonadota; Gammaproteobacteria; Enterobacterales; Enterobacteriaceae.
UUAAGCGACUAAGCGUACACGGUGGAUGCCCUGGCAGUCAGAGGCGAUGAAGGACGUGCUAAUCUGCGAUAAGCGUCGGUGAGGUGAUAUGAACCGUUAUAACCGGCGAUUUCCGAAUGGGGAAACCCAGUGUGUUUCGACACACUAUCAUUAACUGAAUCCAUAGGUUAAUGAGGCGAACCGGGGGAACUGAAACAUCUAAGUACCCCGAGGAAAAGAAAUCAACCGAGAUUCCCCCAGUAGCGGCGAGCGAACGGGGAGGAGCCCAGAGCCUGAAUCAGUGUGUGUGUUAGUGGAAGCGUCUGGAAAGGCGCGCGAUACAGGGUGACAGCCCCGUACACAAAAAUGCACAUGCUGUGAGCUCGAUGAGUAGGGCGGGACACGUGGUAUCCUGUCUGAAUAUGGGGGGACCAUCCUCCAAGGCUAAAUACUCCUGACUGACCGAUAGUGAACCAGUACCGUGAGGGAAAGGCGAAAAGAACCCCGGCGAGGGGAGUGAAAAAGAACCUGAAACCGUGUACGUACAAGCAGUGGGAGCCUCUUAAUGGGGUGACUGCGUACCUUUUGUAUAAUGGGUCAGCGACUUAUAUUCUGUAGCAAGGUUAACCGAAUAGGGGAGCCGAAGGGAAACCGAGUCUUAACUGGGCGUUAAGUUGCAGGGUAUAGACCCGAAACCCGGUGAUCUAGCCAUGGGCAGGUUGAAGGUUGGGUAACACUAACUGGAGGACCGAACCGACUAAUGUUGAAAAAUUAGCGGAUGACUUGUGGCUGGGGGUGAAAGGCCAAUCAAACCGGGAGAUAGCUGGUUCUCCCCGAAAGCUAUUUAGGUAGCGCCUCGUGAAUUCAUCUCCGGGGGUAGAGCACUGUUUCGGCAAGGGGGUCAUCCCGACUUACCAACCCGAUGCAAACUGCGAAUACCGGAGAAUGUUAUCACGGGAGACACACGGCGGGUGCUAACGUCCGUCGUGAAGAGGGAAACAACCCAGACCGCCAGCUAAGGUCCCAAAGUCAUGGUUAAGUGGGAAACGAUGUGGGAAGGCCCAGACAGCCAGGAUGUUGGCUUAGAAGCAGCCAUCAUUUAAAGAAAGCGUAAUAGCUCACUGGUCGAGUCGGCCUGCGCGGAAGAUGUAACGGGGCUAAACCAUGCACCGAAGCUGCGGCAGCGACACUAUGUGUUGUUGGGUAGGGGAGCGUUCUGUAAGCCUGUGAAGGUGGCCUGUGAGGGUUGCUGGAGGUAUCAGAAGUGCGAAUGCUGACAUAAGUAACGAUAAAGCGGGUGAAAAGCCCGCUCGCCGGAAGACCAAGGGUUCCUGUCCAACGUUAAUCGGGGCAGGGUGAGUCGACCCCUAAGGCGAGGCCGAAAGGCGUAGUCGAUGGGAAACAGGUUAAUAUUCCUGUACUUGGUGUUACUGCGAAGGGGGGACGGAGAAGGCUAUGUUGGCCGGGCGACGGUUGUCCCGGUUUAAGCGUGUAGGCUGGUUUUCCAGGCAAAUCCGGAAAACCAAGGCUGAGGCGUGAUGACGAGGCACUACGGUGCUGAAGUGACAAAUGCCCUGCUUCCAGGAAAAGCCUCUAAGCAUCAGGUAACAUCAAAUCGUACCCCAAACCGACACAGGUGGUCAGGUAGAGAAUACCAAGGCGCUUGAGAGAACUCGGGUGAAGGAACUAGGCAAAAUGGUGCCGUAACUUCGGGAGAAGGCACGCUGAUAUGUAGGUGAAGCGACUUGCUCGUGGAGCUGAAAUCAGUCGAAGAUACCAGCUGGCUGCAACUGUUUAUUAAAAACACAGCACUGUGCAAACACGAAAGUGGACGUAUACGGUGUGACGCCUGCCCGGUGCCGGAAGGUUAAUUGAUGGGGUUAGCGGUAACGCGAAGCUCUUGAUCGAAGCCCCGGUAAACGGCGGCCGUAACUAUAACGGUCCUAAGGUAGCGAAAUUCCUUGUCGGGUAAGUUCCGACCUGCACGAAUGGCGUAAUGAUGGCCAGGCUGUCUCCACCCGAGACUCAGUGAAAUUGAACUCGCUGUGAAGAUGCAGUGUACCCGCGGCAAGACGGAAAGACCCCGUGAACCUUUACUAUAGCUUGACACUGAACAUUGAGCCUUGAUGUGUAGGAUAGGUGGGAGGCUUUGAAGUGUGGACGCCAGUCUGCAUGGAGCCGACCUUGAAAUACCACCCUUUAAUGUUUGAUGUUCUAACGUUGGCCCCUAAUCGGGGUUGCGGACAGUGUCUGGUGGGUAGUUUGACUGGGGCGGUCUCCUCCUAAAGAGUAACGGAGGAGCACGAAGGUUGGCUAAUCCUGGUCGGACAUCAGGAGGUUAGUGCAAUGGCAUAAGCCAGCUUGACUGCGAGCGUGACGGCGCGAGCAGGUGCGAAAGCAGGUCAUAGUGAUCCGGUGGUUCUGAAUGGAAGGGCCAUCGCUCAACGGAUAAAAGGUACUCCGGGGAUAACAGGCUGAUACCGCCCAAGAGUUCAUAUCGACGGCGGUGUUUGGCACCUCGAUGUCGGCUCAUCACAUCCUGGGGCUGAAGUAGGUCCCAAGGGUAUGGCUGUUCGCCAUUUAAAGUGGUACGCGAGCUGGGUUUAGAACGUCGUGAGACAGUUCGGUCCCUAUCUGCCGUGGGCGCUGGAGAACUGAGGGGGGCUGCUCCUAGUACGAGAGGACCGGAGUGGACGUAUCACUGGUGUUCGGGUUGUCAUGCCAAUGGCACUGCCCGGUAGCUAAAUGCGGAAGAGAUAAGUGCUGAAAGCAUCUAAGCACGAAACUUGCCCCGAGAUGAGUUCUCCCUGAGACUUAGAGUCUCCUGAAGGAACGUUGAAGACGACGACGUUGAUAGGCCGGGUGUGUAAGCGCAGCGAUGCGUUGAGCUAACCGGUACUAAUGAACCGUGAGGCUUAACCUU